Long non-coding RNA from Gavialis gangeticus (Gharial), 463 nucleotides. RefSeq lists it as uncharacterized. The record is from RefSeq and is a predicted model, not a curated record. The transcript has 3 exons. NCBI's taxonomy places the organism in Eukaryota, Metazoa, Chordata, Crocodylia, Gavialidae.
UAGGGAUUAGCUAUGUGAGUCUCUCUAGUGCAUUUAUUCAAACUUUUUACACUGCAAAUUCAUCUGAGCAGGGAUUGUCUUCUUUCUGUGUUUACACAGUAUCUACCUCAACUGUGGCUGUUGAGAGCUAUCAUCAUGAGGUGCCAUCAUGCUGUACUGACAAAAUCCACUUCAUCUAUCAAAGAGCUCCAAAGGAAGGAGGAAAAAUGGAGUGAUGCCAGCUGCACAACUGGUACAACAGCCACUUCCCAAGCACCAGGGAGAAUUCCUGUUUUGUUUUGUUUUUUAUGAAAAGGACUAGAAGAAAGAUGGUUAGGAGGGGCCCUACACCAUGCUUCCCUCUAAAAUACCUGUGGAACACAGAUGAAUAUCGCUUGUAUUCCUGUAUUGUAAACUGCUUCCAUAUGGAUUAAAAGGAGGAGUUUGCUAAUAUAAUAAACUACUUGAAAGCACUAAGAAAUCA